This 72-nucleotide transfer RNA is filed under the name Bacillota bacterium. RNAcentral's name for it is "Firmicutes bacterium tRNA-Thr". It matches the Rfam family "tRNA". From Rfam's summary of the family: Transfer RNA (tRNA) molecules are approximately 80 nucleotides in length. Their secondary structure includes four short double-helical elements and three loops (D, anti-codon, and T loops). RNAcentral also lists the same sequence under 5 other names. The record is from RNAcentral. Lineage: Bacteria; Bacillati; Bacillota.
GCUAGCGUAGCUCAGCGGUAGAGCUCCCGCCUUGUAAGCGGGUGGUCGUGGGUUCGACUCCCACCGCUAGCU